Long non-coding RNA from Parus major (Great Tit), 1551 nucleotides. The record is from Ensembl. NCBI's taxonomy places the organism in Eukaryota, Metazoa, Chordata, Aves, Passeriformes, Paridae.
GUCAGCCGGGGGUGUGAGGCUGUGUCCGCAGGCUCGGGGGCAGCAUGCCCGCCCCGCCGCUGGCCGCCCCGCUGCUGCGCGCCCUGCUCGUCCGCCUGCUGCCGCUGGCCCGCCGGCGCCUGCUGCCGCCGCUCCGCCGCCUGGGGCGCCGGCUGCGCUCCCGGGAGAGCCGCCAGGCCCUGCUCACCUGCCUGCUCUGCCUCCUCAACCUGCGCAAGAAGGCGGACGACUGAAGCCGACCGGCCACGGGCAAGGACGGGACGGGACGGACCCGGCAGAGCUCGACGGCUCCUCCCGCCCGCCCGGACCGCUGCGGGAGGAGGGACCGGGCAGGGGAGGGGACGCGCCCGGCGGGGGCGGAGGGCCCGCCCAGGCAGCCGAGGCCGGACGGCCGCCCGCGUCUCGCCGCUCCGGUCAUGGUUGCUGGGCCGCCCCCCGCCCCGCUGCCCCCCGGCGCGGAGCCGCUCCGCGGCUGAGUGCCCCCGCCCGCCCCGGGGAAGGAGCCGGCGCUGCACGGGCGAUCUUCAUCACCCGCUCUCGGCCCCACACUGCUGCUUCUCGCCACGGUGCCCGGGCCGGAACCCCCGCUGCCCGCAGCGGGCAGCGGGGAGGGCGAGGAUGUCGGGCAGCACGGAGAGGAAGAUGCAGCCCUUCACCAUCAGCACCAGGCUCUCGCUGCCUAAGUGUGCCGCGGACUUCCCCGGAGACGCCUGCCCCGGCAUCGCCCUCGCCUCCGCGCUGGACAGCCACCGCGGUCUCCGUCGCAGCAUCAACGAGCGCAUCUCCCUCUACCUGGCCCACGCCCGGGCCGGCUCCGCUGCCCCCGCGGGGCAGCCCCGCAACCCCAGCCCCGGUGAGGACGGGGCCACCGACGAGGACCGGCUGAACCGCAGCUCGCUAGCCCGUUCCAUUAAGAAGAUCACGCUGUCCAAUUGGUACGGGGACGCUGGCACGGGAGAGGCAGGGGGACCCGGGGACCCUGCCCACGCCGGCGACGAGAGAAACCACAACAACAACAACAGCAGGACAGGGAAAGCUCAGUUCAAGGUCUUCCUCAGGAAGGAUGUGGAUACAGAGGACAAACAGCAGAAGCCCGGGAGUGUUCAGGCCAGUGUUCACUGCUCUCUGAUGGACAGAUGUUCUCCCUUCUAUGCGGUAUGUCCCCCUGCCCUCAACAUUAAGGGGGCAUGACGGGCAGCUUGGAGCUGAGCAAUGCGGCUGGUAGCUGGUGGUGUGCCCAGGUGUGAAGGGAACCUUGCCUCUUUCAGUGAGUGCAGGAACAAGCUGGGCAUGAUGGGGCAAGGAAUCAGCUCCCCAGGCAGCACCCAGAAGUUUUAUUGCUUCCAAGGGAACCAGAUUAUGGGCUCCUCCAGCCCUGGCUGAGUCAAGUGACUGAAGGUCACAGAGUCGCAGGAGGGCCUGAGAAUCUAUGUUGCUAGAAACAAAACAAAACAACCCAAAAAAAUAACAAAAACAAAAACAACCCCCCCAGAAAAACCAAAACCGAAACAAAAUAAUAAAAAAAAAACAAAACAGAGAAUUUCUGUAGUU